GCCUGACGACAGGGAGCUGACAGGGUGUAGCAAACAGUGCACACAGAGCGGCGCAGCAGGGGGGCAGUUUGGCCAGCCAAGGACAGACAUGUUGACACUCUCCCGCAUUUCAAGAAUCUUGGAUCGUCACUUUAUAGGGCACAUAAAUCUGUUUUCCAAUGAAGGAACAACAACACCACAGUGGAAAUGGGCAGAUUGGUUUCUUGUGGCUCUGAUAGAAAAAUAAUCCCCACUGUACUCCCUGCAAAAGUUGUUUACAUGCCAGAGGAACCACUUCAGCCUCUCUGCAAAGAAAGAGGAAAAAACACGGCGAGAGAAAAAAGGAGAAAUGAUUUGGUGUUUUCAGAAACUUUAAUGAGUGCACCUCGUCUUAUGUGUUACACAUGAUAAGAUGUAUUUGAUAAACCUUGCAAAACCAGCGACAAAACACAGCUGCUAAACCAUUUCCAUCAAGACAGAAAGAUAUAUUUAUGAAUACGUUUAGCUUACUGUGCACAACAGGAAACGUUGCAGAGAUGUGAUGUGAAGCAGGACUCCUGAUGAGCUCAGUGGAAGCAGCCAGGGAAGCAGGUCCUGAUGAAAAGUGCAUGAG
Molecule: long non-coding RNA, 592 nt
Organism: Oreochromis aureus
Lineage: Eukaryota; Metazoa; Chordata; Actinopteri; Cichliformes; Cichlidae
Source: Ensembl